GUGAGGAAUUUUCCGCAAUGGGCGAAAGCCUGACGGAGCAAUGCCGCGUGAAGGAUGAAGGCCUAUGGGUUGUAAACUUCUUUUCUUAGAGAAGAAUAUUGACGGUAUCUGAGGAAUAAGCAUCGGCUAACUCUGUGCCAGCAGCCGCGGUAAGACAGAGGAUGCAAGCGUUAUCCGGAAUGAUUGGGCGUAAAGCGUGUGUAGGUGGCUUCAAAAGUCUCCUGUGAAAGAUCAGGGGUUACACCUGGGCCGGCAGGAGAAACUCUGAGGCUAGAGUUUGGUAGGGGCAGAGGGAAUUCCCGGUGGAGCGGUGAAAUGCGUAGAGAUCGGGAGGAACACCAAAGGCGAAAGCACUCUGCUGGGCCACAACUGACACUGAGAGACGAAAGCGAGGGGAGCAAAAGGGAUUAGAAACCCUAGUAGUCC
RNAcentral lists this ribosomal RNA (426 nucleotides) under uncultured bacterium. RNAcentral's name for it is "partial 16S ribosomal RNA". It matches the Rfam family "Bacterial small subunit ribosomal RNA", at positions 354 to 796 of the family's 1533-position model. The record is from RNAcentral.